CAGUGGUGUGAGUGGUCCUUUGACCUAUGGUGCCAUUGGCUAUUCGCAGCGAGGCUACUGGAUUUGACUGCACAUUUUCUUGGUCCCUAGCUAUUCGUAUCCUUGCUGUGUAUGUUGGAUUCAGUAGAUUCAGGUUCACUAUUUGGAGUAGGAUGCACAUAAAUGGAAUCUAUCAAUCUUAGUAGAAAAGGAGGAGUUCUAUGUGAUUUAUUAGACUG
This 218-nucleotide long non-coding RNA is filed under the name Elaeis guineensis (African oil palm). RNAcentral's name for it is "long non-coding RNA (EGUI_LNC035056)". Lineage: Eukaryota; Viridiplantae; Streptophyta; Magnoliopsida; Arecales; Arecaceae. The record is from RNAcentral.